Molecule: long non-coding RNA, 3429 nt
Organism: Carassius auratus (goldfish)
Lineage: Eukaryota; Metazoa; Chordata; Actinopteri; Cypriniformes; Cyprinidae
Source: Ensembl
UUCACAUUAAUGAGUUGAUGAGUGUGUAAAACAGUACAUACCUGGUGCUACAGCCGCGCUGCCGCUGAUGACAGACAGUGACACACCUCCCCUUUAAGAGACUUUCCCUUUAACUUCACCUGAACACACCUGAACUUCCCCUACGGAAGUUUCACUACAGUUGAGGAAAGGAAAAACAAUCCAGAAAGAAAAAGACAUCCUGUGCUGAAAUAUGGGGACAAAGGGCCCUCCUGGACCAGAAAAGGUGCUCAAAAUUCCCGAAUGGGUAGCAGAUGUGGACAAGAUAACAAAGAUUGUGAACAGCACUGAGGAGGAGAACAAAGAAGAAAUGAUCAAAUCUGCAAGUAUGGAACCCAGUACCCUACAGUGGCCUGAGAAUAAAGCUGAACCACAGAUUCAGAUGCCAGUCAAGGUUGGGGAGAGCAACAAGUGUGAAAUCAGAUUGCAUCUCACUCCACGGUGGAGUGAGCCGGACCGGAGUGAGAGGGAGGAGUUUUUGCUUAAGGAGAUGGAUACAGGGAAAGAGAGUUUUUCUGACUCUGAGCUGAAAAAACGGAGUGAAAAGCACCGGCUCGGAGAUAGAGGUGGAGGAGGUGAACAUUGAUGCCAGAGAAUGCAGCCCGAGUCUUCAGCCCCAGCAUCUCCAUCCUGCGCUCCACUAGCAAGCAGGAGACUGCAGACCACUUGAGAGAUGAUGAAGAAGAGAAAAGUCCCUUCAUGGGGACACAUGGGACACAUGGAACACCACUAGAAGACUAUUACCAAGGACUGGUCCGUCACAUCAAAAUCACGCUGCUGUAAGUUCAGAUUAAAAUAGUUGCAUCAUUAUCAACUGAUAAUAUAGAAUUUAUUGGUAUAGGCUGAUAUACAUUCAUGUAGCUCAAACAGCAGAGUAUGGCUCUACCAACACCAAGAUCAUGGGCUCAAUUACCAGGGAAUGCAUAAACUGAUAAAUGUAUACCUUGAAUGGAACGUAAGCAGCUUUCGUUAAAAGCGUCUGUGAAAGUAAAAAUGAUGUUGGUUAUUUAACUGCGCAUACUCAUUUCCCCUGUUUUUGCAUGUAGAUUACCUUUGUCGUUAUCUUCUGCUCACUUAAUGUUCAAUGUUCAAUUUAUGUUUAAAGCACAUUUAAAACCACUUUAUUUGUCCAAAGUGCUGUACAUAAAGCAUAAAUCUAAUUACAGCAUUUAAAAAAUACACAGACCUAAUCUCUACAUUAGCACUGCAUAUGGUGGCUUCAACAUAACAGUAAAGUCCAUAUAAGCUUAAAAUGACUGAAUCACCUAUCAUUAAAAGCACUGGAGAAAAUAUGUGUUUUUAACAGAAAUUAAAAUUCAGACACUGUAGAAGCAGUUCUGAUAGAUAGAGGCAGAUUGUUUCAUAAUUUGGGAGCAGCAACAGAGAAAGCUCCAUCUCCCCUACAUUUUAGUCUAGUUCUGGGAGCCCACGACAUAUUUGUAGUCUGAGAUCUGAGUGAUCUGACAGGAUUGUGAACAGUAAGCAACUCUUAAAAGAUAUUGAGGAUUUACAGCUUUGAACACAAAGCUAAAUUUUAAACUCAAUAAGGUACUGGAAUGGUAACCAGUGCAGCGGGUGUAAGAUAAGUGUAAUAUGAAUCCGUUUGCGCCUGUCCGUGUUCAAACAGGCAGCCACAUUUUGAACCAACUGAAGUCGAUGUAUAGAUGAGAACGGCAAGCCAUAGUAAAGCUAGUUACAAUAAUCGAGUCGUGAAGAGAUGAAAGUAUGUAUUACAGUCUCAGAACUCUUCCUGCUCCGGUAGUGUUUAACCUUGGCGAAUCUACGAAGAUGGUAAAGUCUGGAGCUCACAGUGGCAUUCAUUUGUUUAUCUAACUUUAGUUCGCAGUCAGGUAUAAAACCUGGAAUUUUUAGCAUUGUGGACUUGAUAUGGGGUGAGAGCCCAAAUCAGUUGUGCUCAAGUCAGUUUUGCCAUUUGAUCUGAAACAAAACAUCUUCUGUUUUGUCAUUAUUUAGAUAUAGAAAGUUAUUUGUAAGCCACAUUUUCAGUUCAAGGAGACGGGCAAUUCAUUGAUUUGUAGCAGAAAUAUCAUCACGUUUAAGUGGUAUGUAGAGCUGAGUACUGUCAGCAUAGCAGUGAUAUUAUACACCAAAUCUCCUAUAUAUUGAUCGCAUGGGUAACAGUGAAAACAUAUCGGUGCCGAGAUUGAUCCCUGGAGAACACCACUUGUAGAAUGCACUACAGAAGAGGAGUAGCUACUUGCCUUUACUCACUAAAAGUACAGUGCCCCUAAUACCAAUGCAAUGCUCCAACCUCAAGAGACCGUGGUCAACAAAAUCAAAUGCUGAACUAAGGUCUAAAAGCACUAAAGCCAUAAUAUUGCCCACAUCAGUUGUAAUUAAAAUAUAAUUAAAAACCUCCAAGAGGGCAGACUUUUUUCUGUGCAAACCUUUAAAACCAGACUGAAAAACUUUAGAAAUACCACUAAUAAUCAAGUGGUUUUGAAAUAGAAAAAUUAAAAAUUCUUACAUUUUUGAUAGAAACGGGAGAUAGGAAAUUGGUCUAAAAUCAAGUGAAGGCUUCUUACAUAUAGGGUAUACAAACGCUUAUUUAAAACAAUCUAGUACUACCCCUGUUAAAAGACAACUGUUUAUAAUAGUCACUAUGUCUGCAGAGAAACUAAAUCAACUUCACUCAACUGAGCAUUGGAUAAAAACAUUUACCAUAAUAGCUAAUUGAGCCUUAAAUACUUGAGGAAAAUUUCACACAUUAAAGAAAAAAAGCACUGGGGGCGAUUUAACUCAGAAUCGAUGCCUGAGAAUCAUGUUCUGGAUAAAUAAAAAAUUUUGCCAAUGAUUUCUGACAAAUGUUCGCCUUAAAAGCUGCCUUAGCCACCUUUUGAAAUGUGCACAAUGAGUCCCUCAGCAUUUCAUAGGACACUUGAUUCCCAUAUUUCUACCACCCGUGGUCACAUUGCCGACAUUGCUGUCUAAGCACUCGGACAUCACUAUUGAUCCAUGGCUGUGAUUUGUGCUUCAAACGAAUAAGCUUGAGCGGUGCAAUAAGGUUUAAAAUAUUAUAACACUUGUUAUAAAAAAUUUAAAAAUUCACCUGAUCCUCUAAAUCAUGUUAGUGAUGACAGGAUCUGAAGCAAGAGGUUAUAUAAAACAGAGAUUUGGUCCUUCAAGUUCAGGAGAGAUUUUGUACCCGUCAAAGACAAAAACGAUAAUGAGAAAAGGAAUUAGUUUAAGCAGAUCCUGAUUUAGGUAGGCAGCCAUGAAAGCCAGUUGGAGGAAGUAAAGGAGAAAGUGUUCAUGUUUUUUUUUUUUAUCUUUAAAAAACUAAAAUUAUUCCUGUUGAAUGUAAUAUUUAGCAAAUCUUAAAUUAACAUUGAUUUUCAUACUGUACAUUAUAAUAUUGUGAUCGGUAAAUUCACUUUUAUAAUUCAGCGU